GACGAACGCUGGCGGCGGGCUUAACACAUGCAAGUCGAACGGAAAGGCCCUGCUUUUGGGGGGUGCUCGAGUGGCGAACGGGUGAGUAACACGUGAGUAACCUGCCCUUGACUUUGGGAUAACUUCAGGAAACUGGGUCUAAUACCGGAUAGGAGCUCCUGCUGCAUGGAGGGGGUUGGAAAGUUUCGGCGGGUGGGGAUGGUCUCGCGGCUUAUCAGCCCGUUGGUGGGGUAGUGGCUUACCAAGGCUUUGACGGGUAGCCGGCCUGAGAGGGUGACCGGCCACAUUGGGACUGAGAUACGGCCCAGACUCCUACGGGAGGCAGCAGUGGCGAAUCUUGCACAAUGGGCGGAAGCCUGAUGAAGAAACGCCGCGUGCGGGAUGACGGCCUUCGGGUUGUAAACCGCUUUCGCCUGUGACGAAGCGUGAGUGACGGUACUGGGUAAAGAAGCACCGGCUAACUACGUG
RNAcentral lists this ribosomal RNA (468 nucleotides) under uncultured bacterium. RNAcentral's name for it is "partial 16S ribosomal RNA". It matches the Rfam family "Bacterial small subunit ribosomal RNA", at positions 28 to 507 of the family's 1533-position model. The record is from RNAcentral.